Molecule: long non-coding RNA, 2974 nt
Organism: Schistocerca gregaria
Lineage: Eukaryota; Metazoa; Arthropoda; Insecta; Orthoptera; Acrididae
Exons: 3
Source: RefSeq, a predicted model, not a curated record
ACCACCUCUCACCCGACAUCCACAGCAACGCGGCCGAACACCAAAAACCUAGCGAGGCAAAACGCUGCCGCGACCACCAAACGCCCUUCAAAACCCGCCCGCUAAAACUUGCUUCAACGCGAAUCAUCGAUGCGGACACCAUGUACCAAGUCGUCCGAGCAAACCAAAAGCUGUCCGAAUACUUUCGCAAGCUGAGCGGCGGAAUUGUACAAAAUAACCUCAACCUGCUCAAUCAGCGCAUUCGGCAAGUCAUGCCCAAACUGGCCGACGUCAAAAACCUAGAAAAUGCAUCCCAAAGACUCGAACAAAACACACUGAUGAUCGACAACUCGAUUGACGUGCUAAAAACAACUGCGAAAUUAUCGCAAACGUUCGAAAACAUAAAUAACGCAUCAGAUAAAAUUCUGUACCUCACUAAAAACAUAACUUAUUCGCGAUAAAAAAUUUUCAUGUCACCGAAUACUCCAACGCCCUCUUCCUUUCAUAAAAGAUGAACGUGUAGUCUUCAAACUGCGCCUUCGUAUCACCAUUCGAGCUGUACUGCCUCAAAUGAAAAAAAAAGAAACGCAACCAAAAACCUGUCAGUGCGUCGAUUUUUUUACAGCUUCAUCCUCCAACAGAGAAACCUCCAUUUCAGGGACUUAUGUUCCCCUUGAGAGCCUCAAUGAGUUUCGGAACGAUUUCAAACAGGUCGCCCACAAGCGCAUAGUCGCUGACCUGGAAAAUGGGCGCCUCCUCAUCGCUGUUGAUCGCUACAAUAACCUUGCUUCCCUUCAUGCCUGCCAGAUGCUGAAUGGCACCUGAUAUUCCGACGGCGAUGUACAAAUCAGGAGCUACGAUCUUACCCGUCUGACCCACUUGGAGAUCAUUCGGCACAAAUCCGGAAUCGACCGCAGCUCGCGAGGCCCCCACUGCCGCUUUGUUUCCAAACACGUCAGCUAGGUCAUAGAUGAGCUUAAACUGAUCUUUUCCGACAAGUCCGCGGCCGCCCGAUACGACGAUUUUUGCCGAAGAGAGAUCUGCACGUUCGGUAGAGAGAGUCUCAACUGACUCCCAGCCGCUGUAACUGCACUCUUCCGCGCCGUAAUCGUCUACCAGCUCCUCGAUAGGGCAGCCAGACUCGCUCGUUCCACAAUCCUCGAACGAAGUCGGACGAACUGUAAAAAGCUUUACCGCAUCGUGAGCUUGAACAGUGACCAAAACGUUGCCAGCGUAGAUAGGACGAAGGAAGGUGUCGUGGCUCAAGACACUCAUCACCUCACUGACAGGCUGAACAUCCAAAAGAGCACCAAGGCGGGGAACGAAGUUCUUGCUGAAAUUCGAAGAAGCCGCAAGAACGUGACUGUAGGGAUUUUUUUUCACAUGACCCUCUAAAAAUUUGGCAAGCGGCUCGGGCAAAUGAUGCCGAUACAGCGGAGAGUCGCGAACUAAAACUCGAUCGACACCCUCCAACUUCUGAGCUUGCUCGCAGGCAGCUCGACAAGAAGUUCCAGCCACCAGUAAAUCUAUGCCAUCUGAAGGAGAGAGAAGCGUGGCCACCUUGACCGCCUUGUGAGUGUUAGAAGCAAGCUUCAGGUGGCUGUGUUCAGCGACCACAAGAACACGCUUGGCAUUUUGAAGGCUUGCACUGGUGUGCAAACUGCGGUACAAACCACGUCGGCCUCCGCUACCUAAAGAAAUAAUAGACUAAAGUAUACGCGUUAUUAUACUCUGCGGCGAACGAUCUCUCCAAUACGCGGGCGAUAUCAAAACGGCGCUAGAGGUGGGAUGUACAUACGCGAACGGAAUGCCUAGCAAACAUGAAGAGAACUACACAGAGUGCCCUGUCAUGAUUUUUUUUUUUUUUUCGGAUUAAAAAAAGAAAAAAAAAAAAGAAAUCUCCCAUCGCCAUUGUCAAGCACUCUCUUCAGAGCACCAAACACGUAGUAAACCGCGGCAACAUGGCUAUAGGAAAAAACAAAAAGAAACCAAAAAAAACCGCCAAGUCCAAGAGAGCGUUCGACAUCAUGUCCAAAAAGGAAUGGUACUACAUCCGAGCGCCAUCCCUUUUUGCUGGUGGAACCUCCGGUGCUCCCCCCGGCAUCAUUGGCCGCACGUUCGUCAAUAAGAGUGUCGGCGGGAAGCUUGCCAGCGACAUGCUCUUGAACCGAGUCUAUUCUGUUUCGCUUGCCGAUCUCAAUAAAGAUCAUAGCGAAGAUCAAGGCUUCCGAAUCAUCAAACUCAUCACCGACAAAGUCGUCAAUGAUACUUGCCUGACAAACUUCUACGGUAUGACGCUCACAACCGACCGUGUCAAAUCCCUCGUUCGUAAGUGGCAAACCCUCAUAGAGGCAUCCGUCGAAGUCAAGACAACCGAUGGUAACAUCGUGCGUCUCUUCGCACUCACGUUCACGAAACGUCGCCCGGGCCAAGUCAAGAAGACGUGCUACGCUAAGUCCAGCCACGUCAAGACUAUUCGACACAAGAUCAGGGAAAUCAUAGUGCGUGAGGCUAGCGGCUGCAAUCUGAAGCAGCUGUUUGAGAAGCUGUGCUAUGACGUUAUCGGCAAGAAUAUCGAACGCGAGGCUUCAAGAAUUUACCCUCUUCAAAACACCUGUAUCAGAAAAGCCAAGAUCAUCCAUCGCGCGAAGACAGAUCUGUCUCGCCUGGCCGAAAUUCAUAGCGGAUUUUCCCAAAGCAGCGCUCCAGUAGUAACCGAGGACGUCGGCACCCCCAUUGUCCAGAUGGCCUAAAUAAAAAAACAAAAUAAGUUCUCGAAACAAAACGCGUAAUGUCAAUGAAGAGGUACAACCCGAAAUUCGCCAAAGACAGAGAACCAUAAAGCACAGCAGUCGCCGGGUCGAAGAGACCAAAAAAAAAAUUGAUGCUUUUUUUUUCGUAUAUGCGCGAGCAGAGAGAUAUACACAGUUAGGAAAUUGCCGACUUAAGGGUUCAUUGCCUCUUCGGUCUGCUCCAAUUUAUCUCCCUCCGCACC